AUUGAACGCUGGCGGCAGGCCUAACACAUGCAAGUCGAGCGGAUGAAGGGAGCUUGCUCCUGGAUUCAGCGGCGGACGGGUGAGUAAUGCCUAGGAAUCUGCCUGGUAGUGGGGGAUAACGUCCGGAAACGGGCGCUAAUACCGCAUACGUCCUGAGGGAGAAAGUGGGGGAUCUUCGGACCUCACGCUAUCAGAUGAGCCUAGGUCGGAUUAGCUAGUUGGGGGGGUAAAGGCCUACCAAGGCGACGAUCCGUAACUGGUCUGAGAGGAUGAUCAGUCACACUGGAACUGAGACACGGUCCAGACUCCUACGGGAGGAAGCAGUGGGGAAUAUUGGACAAUGGGCGAAAGCCUGAUCCAGCCAUGCCGCGUGUGUGAAGAAGGUCUUCGGAUUGUAAAGCACUUUAAGUUGGGAGGAAGGGCAGUAAGUUAAUACCUUGCUGUUUUGACGUUACCAACAGAAUAAGCACCGGCUAACUUCGUG
This 484-nucleotide ribosomal RNA is filed under the name uncultured bacterium. RNAcentral's name for it is "partial 16S ribosomal RNA". It matches the Rfam family "Bacterial small subunit ribosomal RNA", at positions 30 to 507 of the family's 1533-position model. The record is from RNAcentral.